This 77-nucleotide transfer RNA is filed under the name Pseudomonadota bacterium. RNAcentral describes it as "tRNA-Val". It matches the Rfam family "tRNA". From Rfam's summary of the family: Transfer RNA (tRNA) molecules are approximately 80 nucleotides in length. Their secondary structure includes four short double-helical elements and three loops (D, anti-codon, and T loops). RNAcentral also lists the same sequence under 1 other name. Lineage: Bacteria; Pseudomonadati; Pseudomonadota. The record is from RNAcentral.
AGGCGCGUAGCUCAGUUGGUUAGAGCACCUGCAUGACACGCAGGGGGUCGUUGGUUCGAAUCCAAUCGUGCCUACCA